GACGAACGCUGGCGGCGUGCCUAAUACAUGCAAGUCGAACGCACAGUUUAUACCGUAGCUUGCUACACCAUAGACUGUGAGUUGCGAACGGGUGAGUAACGCGUAGGUAACCUGCCUGGUAGCGGGGGAUAACUAUUGGAAACGAUAGCUAAUACCGCAUAAUAUUGAUUAUUGCAUGAUAAUUGAUUGAAAGAUGCUAUUGCAUCACUACCAGAUGGACCUGCGUUGUAUUAGCUAGUAGGUGAGGUAACGGCUCACCUAGGCGACGAUACAUAGCCGACCUGAGAGGGUGAUCGGCCACACUGGGACUGAGACACGGCCCAGACGCCUACGGGAGGCAGCAGGAGGGAAUCUUCGGCAAUGGACGAAAGUCUGACCGAGCAACGCCGCGUGAGUGAAGAAGGUUGUCGGAUCGUAAAGCUCUGUUGUAAGAGAAGAACGGGUGUGAGAGUGGAAAGUUCACACUGUGACGGUAUCUUACCAGAAAGGGACGGCUAACUACGUG
Molecule: ribosomal RNA, 505 nt
Filed under: uncultured bacterium
Lineage: Bacteria
Description: partial 16S ribosomal RNA
Rfam family: Bacterial small subunit ribosomal RNA
Source: RNAcentral